CCCUUAGAUGUCCUGGGCCGCACGCGCGUUACACUGAUGCAUUCAACGAGCUUAUAACCUUGGCCGAGAGGCCUGGGCAAUCUUGUUAACGUGCAUCGUGAUAGCGAUAGAUUAUUGAAAUUAUUAAUCUUGAACGAGGAAUUCCUAGUAAACGCAGAUCAUCAAUCUGCAUUGAUUACGUCCCUGCCCUUUGUACACACCGCCCGUCGCACCUACCGAUUGGAUGGUCCGGUGAAGCCUCGGGAUUGUGGUUCUUGCCGCUUUAUUGUGGCGUGACCGCGAGAACUUGUCUAAACCUUAUCAUCUAGAGGAAGGUGAAGUCGUAACA
RNAcentral lists this ribosomal RNA (328 nucleotides) under uncultured eukaryote. Its description in RNAcentral is "partial 18S ribosomal RNA". It matches the Rfam family "Eukaryotic small subunit ribosomal RNA", at positions 1470 to 1796 of the family's 1831-position model. The record is from RNAcentral.